This 7666-nucleotide long non-coding RNA is filed under the name Coffea arabica (coffee). RNAcentral describes it as "long non-coding RNA (CARA_LNC008274)". The record is from RNAcentral. Lineage: Eukaryota; Viridiplantae; Streptophyta; Magnoliopsida; Gentianales; Rubiaceae.
AAAGGGAAGGAUAAGCUCUUCAUCCUCACCAUCCGAGAGAGGGUUUACGGAUUGGAGCUCAUAUAAAAAGGAACAAGAAUCAGCAGCCGCAAGAGGAGGGGAGAUAGAGAGCACGGCUGGAAAAAUUCUGAGGCAAAACAGAAAUCAGAGAGAAUAGGCAUCAAGGAUGGCUGCAAAACUUAAGGAAAAACAGAGGAAGGAAAUGGAGGAGCUGGGUUUCGGGCAGACAAAGGAGAAGAAAUAAGAAAGGGGGAGGAAAAGAGUGGAACGGCAAAAAGAAAAGGAGAAGAAAGAGAGAGGCGACGGACAGCAAAGAAAAACAAGAGAGCUAACGGCUGAGUGAGUAAAAGGGAGAGCUUUGAGAGUUUUGGAAGGAGGUGACGGCUGAAAUCUGGAAAAAGAAAGGAAAGCCAGAGAAAGGAGUGGACGGCUGGUGAGGAAGAAGGCUAGAGUUUUGAGAGAGGUGGGCUGUGAGGAACAGAAAACUGGAGAGCUUUCGGGCAGAGUAAGGAACCGUGAGUGAAGGAAAGCCAGACAGAGAGAAACUAGAACAAGGAGAAGAGGAUCUGCGGCCCAUUGCCCUCAGAUUGUGGUGGAUUCCAGUCAGUUACUCCAAAGUCCUAUCAAAAUCCAGUUCUUGUAGCAGCAAAACAGGUAAUCCUCAACCUCUUCCCGUAUGAAAAAUCCAGUUCUUGCAUGAUUGUGUUUUGGCCGAGAGAAAAUGGUUAAAGUUUCCAACUUUGGUUGGUGGUUCGUCUUAGGUUGAGUUUUGGGUUGCAAGACUAGAUUUUUCUUGUAAGUUAGUGUCAUAGAUUCUCAUUUUAAGUAUUGCUGCUGUCCAUGUGAGGAACAAGAACCAAACCAGAAAAUGGAGUGCUUCUUCGGCAAGUUGAAUUUCUGACUUUUAAUUCGUUGAUUUCCUUUUUCGUUCUGUGAGUUUGUAAGCUGUUUUUGGGUAGUUAUAGGUAUAAAAUGCAUGUUUUGUAUGUUUGGGGGCUGAAACACUUGAAUUAAGAUCAAAUGCUUGCUGAAAAUGAUCAUUUCAGGUUGCUGAACCACCUUUGCACACAUAUUUUUCCAGAAUUUUUUGCAUGGCUUCAGUCUGGUUUUUGUUCGUCUGGAUUGGGGUGGUUGUAUAGUUACUUGCGUAGUUUAAAGCUGUGAUGUUGGGGUUGAAGGGUAUCUAAUCAAAGUCGUGUGUUUGAAUUGGAAAUUUGAGUUAGGAAACAAAAAAAAAUGCAGCAGGCUUCACUUUUGGCUGCUGAAUUUUUUCGAGUGUUUGAAUUACUUAGUUUGCUGGUUAUUUGGAAUAUUUUGAGAGGUGUUUAACGUGGUUUUGAGUGAAGUUGAUUUGAAGUUUUAAAUGAACUUGGUUUUGCCGAAAGUUUACAUGCAAGGAUAGAAAGUCAUGGCUGAAAAUUGCAGAAGCCAAAUCCGCAAGUCUGUUGAAAGGUUCAAGCAGUUUGCAUGUUUUUCCAUGCUCAUGGUUCAUUGUACCAUGGCAUUUAUGUGUGUUUUGAAGUAAUGAUUUUGUUAGGUGAAAGGUUUGGUUAAAGAUGAGGUGCUAAAGUCCAAAGUUUGUGUUUGAAAAUGCAGCAAAUUAGUACAGAAGCCUAAGCUGCCACAAUUUUUCUGUGAUGUUUUCUUCUCUGUGUUUGAUUUGUUGAGUUUUCCUACUUAACCUGCAUGCCUAAUCUUAUGUUUGAAUGGAAGAAAAGAAGGUUUGGUGUUGAGUUUGCAUUCUUUGAAUCACAGGAAAUGUAAACUAGCUUGAAUGUUGGCCAAGUAAAAUAGAUUUCCCUAAAAAUUCUGAAUGGUGGGUGAGUUGUCUUGAACCAAUCUGAAUCAUGAGUUGGUUUCUCAUUCCAGAUUUCUCUUUGUUUUUUUUUAUGCAUAAAAGGUGUUUUUAAGAAUGAGUUUGCAACCUUUAGCGAGUGCUAGGAAGCUGGAUUUUCUUCUUGGUUAAAAUCUUUUCUCUUGCCGCAUAAGGCUGCUGAAGUUCCAAAGUCUCGGCUGACUCUCUUUGGCUGCAGAAAUGUUUCCUAAGCUUUGCAUGAAGUCACCUGAACUGUUCAGAUUUUGCAUGUCUGUUGGCUGACCUUUGGUGUUAAAUUUAUAAGUUUCAUGAUGCAAAAUGAGUGGAAUGUAUGGUAGUUUUUUUUGUUUGGAUUUAAUUGAGUUUGAAAGCUGUUAAUGCCGAAUUGAGGGAAGCUUUCAUCAGAAUUCUUGUUGCAGGCAAUGUUUACGUAGCUUUGCAUGGUUUUGCAUGAAACUAUUUUUGAAAAUUUCACUUUAACCCCCCAAGUCUCCCCUUGUUCUACUAUGACCCACAAAUUUGAGAAAGCUAAUCAAUUGGGUCCCUGUGAUUUUUGUAGCAAUGCAUUAUGGCCCAAUUACAUUCCAAUGUCUUGCAAUUAGGUUCUAAGGUGUUUGCAUUUGAAUCAUUAAUUGAUCUUUAUUAUUUUUGGGACCUUUGAAGCUCUUUGAUGAUUCAUUUUGACGUUGAUUGUGAUUGAUUAGUGGUCGUUAUUGGGUCCUAGAAAUGCAAGUUUAAACCAUUCAUGGACUUUCAUUCACUCUUGGAUUCUUGAGAUAUGAUGUUUGCUUGGAUUUUAAUUUUUACUUGGGGACCUUUGAGUUUUUAAAUGCUUCAAUUAGGUUCAAAUGAUUUGAGUAGUGCUUGCAUUUGGGUUUUUAGUAGAUGUUAUGCUUGGGGAUUGGAUGAUCAUGCUUUUUGCCUUGGUCUUUAAGUAGUUUUGACUUCAUUGAGUUGCAAUUGAGGGAAAGUUUGAUGUUUGGUGGAUUCAAAUUGUUUAGUUUAUAUCUUAUCAUUAAAUUGGUGCAUUAAUCUUUUGUUUUUGGUGAUUUUAGCCUAAAUUAGUCUUUUCUUGGGUGACUCUAGCCAAGUUGAGUUUGUUUACUUCCUUAGUAUCACCAACGGGGCGGUAUAAUCUCUUUUACCCCUUUUGUUUCUCUCCUAUGUGGACUAAUGUGCUAAUUGAAAUUUGCAUGUCUACUUGCUUUCCUAGCCUCUCCUUAUUUCCUUUCAGUUAUUUCAUUUACUUUUGAUUUUUAUUAAUGGGGUAUGUGUACACCUCUUGGCUUGUAAUAGAUAGGGCGUAGCAAGUAAUUUGGUCCAUUUUUCCUUUCCCUUUUGUUUUAGUUAGCAAAUGUAAUGGUUGCAUGCCUAUGUGUUAUAUGUUAAAUGCUUUAUUAGGAUUUUGCAUCUAGUCAAGCAUGCUAAGUGUUAUGUGCUACGUGUUUAUAAGUGAUUCGCAUGUCUACUCGCUUUUUAUAGUGUGGAUGAAUGGAAUGGAUGAAUGUACGUCACCACACUAGUCCAACGCUAGUUGUGGCUUCUUUUAUCGUUUCCACUAGUCCAACGCUAGUCGGAAUUCAUAGGAGGGGCUAGUCCAAUGCUAGACCCAAUAGGUUUUUUUUUCCUUUUUCAUGAAGUGCAUGAUCACCACAUAUCACGCAUUUUUCCUUAGUUUAUCAUUUGGUAUGUUCCUCAAACCCCUUCCCCUUCACUUUAGGACUUGCAUCUCAUGCUAGUUAGGGUUCAUUUGCGUGAAAAUCCCCUCUUGAUAAGGGAAACGAGCGAGUGUGGCUACUCGAUAGCCUUAGCACGCUAGUUUCGCCUUCUAAUCAAAGGGAAAAUCGAAGUCGAAAAGUUAGGAGUCAACCCCCGUACCCGACUUGUUGCAUUCCUCUAGGGUCAUACUUUCAUUUUUAUCACCUACAUACUCUUUUAACCACAUUUUUUCACAUUUCUCAAAACCAUCCUUUCUCACUACAUUUUUCCUAUCACGUGCUCAUUUUCACCUCACAAAUGGAAUUCCACUUUACCUUAUAUAUCUAUUAUUCUAUUUUCACACACUUGCACACAAGAAACACUCAAAUUUUAUACAAUUUCACACAUGCACCUUUUUAUACAUUCGAACACUUGCACUUACAUUUCUUGCAUCUUUCAUACACUUUCACACUUGCACACUUGAAUUUGAACUCUCACUUGGAUUAAUCGACCUCUAUGAGGUUUUCCUUUGUUGGCCGCCACAAUUCAUGUGGUUUUGGACCAAAAGCCUCACAAGAGACAUCGUAGAAUUUAGGAUUGCAUUUUCCUUUCCGUUUUGCAUUCAUAUAGUCAUAUCCAACGUGCGAUACAUACAUUGGGUAGAAGAUUAGGAAAGGUAAGGUUAAGUCGCGCAACUAGCCUUGGCUAGGUCAAAGGGGUGCCUUGGAUUCUAUCCUUGCCUUCCCCUUUGUCAAACGUGACUCCCGAACCUUUUUCUUUGGCUUACGUGGACUAGGAGUCGUUUUAAAAGGGUUUUACUACUUUGUCUUUAAAAAUUUAUUUUUCAGGUGACUUGGUACACCUUAAUCAUUACCAAGUGGCGACUCCAAUUUCUCAUUCAAAAACCCUUUUUAAAACACUAUUUUGGGUCAAAUCGUCGCUUUUUCAAGUCCCAUAUUAGACCCCAUAUCUUUUUCAACUCACAAAAAUCAUUUUCCAAUCACAAUUGAAUCAAACACAUCUUUCUCAAACCAUUUUUAUUUAUUUAUUUUUCUUAUCAAAAAAUGGGGCGCGACAGUAAGGGUGACCUCCACUCUACUGGAACGUAUAAAAGAGGCGCAAGGCAAGGAUUUGAUGGUACAGAAGUGGAGAGAGAAAGUGGAAAAGGGAGAAACAACGGACUUCAAUCUGAGUCCUGAGGGUAUGUUGCAAUAUCGAGAUCGAAUAGUGGUACCAAAGGAGGAAUCGUUGAAAGCAGAAAUUUUGGAGGAAGCUCAUAGGUCCAAGUAUACAAUCCAUCCGGGCAGCAGCAAGAUGUAUCAAGACCUAAAAGGAACCUAUUGGUGGGACAACAUGAAGAGGGAAAUCGUUCAAUACGUGCAGAAAUGUCUCAUUUGCAGCAAGUGAAGGCAGAGCAUCAAAAACCAUCGGUUGUUACAACCCUUGGAGAUACCCGAGUGGAAGUGGGAAAACAUCACCAUGGACUUCGUUUCAAGUUUACCGAGGACGCAAAGAGGAAACGAUGCCGUUUGGGUGAUCGUUGAUCGAUUAACCAAGUCGGCCCAUUUCUUGCCGGUAAACAUGAAGUAUUCAAUGGACAAAUUGACCCGAUUGUACAUGGAUGAAAUUGUAAGGCUACACGGAGUGCCUGUGAGCAUCGUCUCUGAUCGGAGAUCCACGAUUUGUAUCACGGUUUUGGCAGAAGUUUCAAGAAACCCUGGGACGAAAACUCAAUUUGAGCACUACCUAUCACCCUCAGACGGAUGGCCAGUCGGAACGGACGAUUCAGACUCUUGAGGAUAUGCUACGAACCUGUAUUCUGGACUUUAGAGGCAAUUGGGGUCAGCACAUGACCUUGGUAGAAUUUGCGUACAACAAUAGCUUCCAUUCGUCAAUUCAAAUGGCUCCGUAUGAAGCUCUCUACGGACGCAAGUGCCGCUCACCGAUUUAUUGGGAUGAAGUAGGUGAAAAGAAAGCACUGAAUCCGCAACCAUUCCAUGGAUGGAAGAGGCUCAGGAAAAGGUCAAGUUGAUACGACAACGACUUCAAACCGCCCAAAGUCGUCAAAAGAGCUACGCGGAUAACCGAAGAAAAGAUUUGGAAUUUGAAGUUGGAGAUUAUGUAUUUCUCAAAAUCACACACCUUACGAAGUCUUACAACGGGCAAAGAAAGAAACUUCAACCGCGGUACGUCGGACCCUAUAAGAUCCUUCAAAGGGUUGGAGUGGUCGCGUAUCGAUUGGAACUACCAUCCAGUCUAUCUCGAAUCCACGACGUAUUUCACGUCUCGAUGCUAAAGAAGUACCAUCCUGACCCAUCUCAUGUUUUACAACCGGAGGAUAUCGAAGUAGAUGAAUCACUGGCCUAUGAAGAGAAACCGGUUCAAGUACUCGAUCGAAAAAUCAAAGAGCUCCGAAACAAACGGAUUCCACUAGUGAAGGUGCUAUGGAGAAACCACGGAGUUGAGGAAGCCACCUGGGAGAUGGAAGAGGAAAUGCGAAAGAAAUACCCAAACCUUUUCGGGAAUUAAGGUGAGAAAUUUCGAGGACGAAAUUCUUUUAAGGGGGGGAGAGUGUGAGAACCCGUAAAACCCUAAUUAUUUUUCUAGGGUUUAUUUCCCUUAAUUGCAUGUUUUCUGCAUUUUCUGGCUUAGAGAUAUUUUCUUAGUGGAUUUUAUGAGCAAUUAUAGUUUUAAGAUGAUUUUUCUAGCAUUGGGGAAAUUUUAGGAAAUUAAGAGUAAAUAGUGGACGUGGGACCCACUAGUGCGAAAAGUUCGGAAAAAUUCGGCCGAUAAGGUUAAGUUUCGGAUACUGUUUAAAAUUUAUCGGGUGUUAAGAGAUAAGUAGUGUGUGUGAAGUGAUUGAUGUGAGAGAGAAAAGAAAGAUAAGAAUGCAUUUAUGAAGGUGACAAGUGUCACCUUCUUAUUGGAUGCCUUUUAAGAAUUACUAUUCACAAUUUUGACUUUUUUGACCAAAGGUUAAAUAUCCAAAAAUUGCACAAAAUUCACCAUUUUUUCCUCCUUAUGGCCGGCCCUCUCUAAGCAAGAAGAAAGACAAAACUCUUCAACAUUCUAGCAAACUUCUAGCUCAAAUCAACUAAAUCACUUGCUUAACUUGGUUUUCACUCCAUUAAAUUUUUCCUUCUAGUGCUAGUAAGUUGUUUGGUGAACUUUGUUUGAAGGACUAAGGUGCACAACAUCUUUCUCUCUUUUGGUUUGUGGUAAGUGAAGCUUGAAACAUCCUACUACACCUAAUGAUGCUUAUUGUAGACACCAAAUUUUAAAUAAUUUUGUAUGUUGCAUCUAAUUCAUGAUUUUUGUUGCAGAUUGUCUGCAUUCUAGUUCGUUAUUGUUUGUUUCUCAUUUUUAGUGGUUAUUUUAUUUUAGUUCAUUUUUGGCCCUUUUAGUUGAUCUAUUUCAUUUGUCAUUUAUUCUUGUUUGUCUUUUUAGUUUUAUUUACUUUUAGUUUUAGUUUUAGUUUUAGUUUUUAAAUUUUAAGAUUAGCAUAGAGUUGCUAGAGAAAAAAGGAAAACAUUCAAAAAAUAUAUGUUUUAGUCAUUUUUGUUUUUAUUUAAUGCUUUCUUGAUAAAAAAAAAGAUUAUGAAAAUCAUGAAAAAAAAAGAAAAAAACAGGCAAAAACAUUCAAAAAAUAGGUUUUUUUUUUUGGGAAAAACAAUGGAAAAGAAAGAAAAAGAAAGAAAAAGAAAUUUGCUCACAAAGUAUGUUUAUUUCUUUUAAAUUCAACUUUUUGGCAUUUUAUUUUAUUAAGUUAUUUGAAAAAAGUGAAAAAAUGAGAAAAAUGAAAAAAAUGGAAAGUUGCGUUUUUGUUGUUUCUAGUUUAUUUUUCUAAUGUUAAUUAAGUUGUUUUUGUUAUUAAUUAUUAUUGUUAUCAUUUUUUGUUGUUUAAUUAAUUAAUUUUUUUCAAAAAAAAAUAAAUAAAUAAAUUUACCGCAGCAUGCACGCUGCAAUUUUUUGCAGCGUGCAAGGCACAACCUCAAUAGACAUCGGAUGGCUGGAUGGAAAGGGAAGGACAAGCCUUCAUCCUCACCAUUGGGGUGAGGGUUUAGGAACCUUGGAGUUCCAUAUAAAAGGGAAGAGAAGGCUCAGCCGUGAAGGGAGAGGAAGAAAAUUUGGAGCUGACGGCUAAGAGAAAAC